This 206-nucleotide ribosomal RNA is filed under the name uncultured fungus. Its description in RNAcentral is "partial small subunit ribosomal RNA". It matches the Rfam family "Eukaryotic small subunit ribosomal RNA", at positions 587 to 800 of the family's 1831-position model. The record is from RNAcentral. Lineage: Eukaryota; Fungi.
AGCUCCAAUAGCGUAUGUUAAAGUUGUUGCAGUUAAAAAGCUCGUAGUUGAACCUUGGGUCUGGCUGGCCGGUCCGCCUCACCGCGAGUACUGGUCCGGCUGGACCUUUCCUUCUGGGGAAUCUCAUGGCCUUCACUGGCUGUGGGGGGAACCAGGACUUUUACUGUGAAAAAAUUAGAGUGUUUAAAGCAGGCCUUUGCUCGAAU